ACCGUCUUAUUCCAAAUGUAGUUAUGUUGGGAUUUUAAAAGUUUUGCCAUGUUUGCUGCAUACCAUUUUGGACAAAGAUACCAUGUUGUAAAACAUCAAUAGAUCCGUUGGCGGAGCAGGACCAGAUCGCCUGUGAUCUGUUUCACGUUUCUUCUAAUGAUUGUCAAACUCAUCUUAAUGAAUUUGAAGACAAGCGGUGCUCGCUCAUAUUCUUAAAAAUAAUAAUCAGUCGAGUGUCUAUUCUUAGUUCGUCUCCCCAGCUGGCUUUACUCGUGAUACCCAUGGCGACCCAAAAGGACAAAAUAAAGUGUGCAGUAGAGUGUAGAGAACUCCAAUGCUCAAUUUUUUUUACCGGAAGUUUCUCAAAUUGUGUUUGAUGAAGCUUGCCCAUCACCGCUCAAUACGAACUCGAUUGGGGGCCUAGCAGCUACACUACAACGAAGAUGCGUCGAAUUUCAGCACUAUAAAUAUGAAAAACAUAUGAAGAUGCCUCAUUUCUACAUAAUGAUAGUUCUCACACUCGGUUUCUGCAUCAGGCCUUUUUAUCUUAUCCUGCCACCUUGGCAGCCUCUAAGAAAGCUAGUAUUCACACAUAUCGUAAGCUACGUGUUUGACUGUACCUGGUAACCUUAGAACAUUUUCGGGUGCGGCUGUUCUGUUACACUUGACUGAUACUAGCAAGUUCUCUUUUGGUGAGGCUAAAAUGAGUAUUUCUUUGCGUACUAAAUUACUAAGUUUGCUUGGACGCUUUGGAACAAGGAUAAAUUGUGCGGAUCACGAUUCAUAACAGGCUCAGCGAGCACAAGGGGUUCUUUUUUUUGUUGCAUGAUACUAGCAAGUUCUCUUUUGGUGAGGCUAAAAUGAGUAUUUCUUUGCGUACUAAAUUACUAAGUUUGCUUGGACGCUUUGGAACAAGGAUAAAUUGUGCGGAUCACGAUUCAUAACAGGCUCAGCGAGCACAAGGGGUUCUUUUUUUUGUUGCAAGUAGUCUGCGUAAUGUUUCUAGCAUUGUGUAAGCAUUUUCUGGUUUAUAUAGGUACGCCGAGCAAGUCAACCUCAGAUUGCAUUAGAGAGCAGGACACCCUAUAGUAGGACUUAUAUAAGAUUCAAUGUAGCACAUCUCUCCAAGCUAUAUAAAUAGGAUUAGAGAAAUCAGCCACAUUCUGCAGCAUAACUAGUAGGAGUACACUUUGCCCAAUAGUGUCCACCUUACUGUCAGAAAAUCAAAUCUGGAUGCCCUACUUCAGAGUUUGGCAAAGCAAAUCAAUUCGGGUGGCUUGAAAUACACACAACUCUUUCAAUUAGCAAGAAGAUUGGUCAGUGAACAACAGACAGCCUUGCAACCUUUUAUCUUUAUCUUUAUACCCUGCAGCUAGCCAGCAACAAGCAAAGAAUUGAUUCUGUAUUUAGUGAAAUCAAAAAAGAUGAAAGAGGGAACUCAAAGCAAAAGGAAAGAAUAUUACCAGUUUCUUUUAUUCUGUAAGGCAUUUGUGCACACAUACAGAAGCAGGAAGGACCCAAAUAUUUCGGCGCAACAUGUUACUUGACCCUUUUUGGCUCUCCAAUCCGUCCAUCUGGUAGUGGCACCUGAGCAAUCUAUUUGGUAUCCCUCGAGCGAGAUACUCUCUACAUAGUCCAGUUGUUCAACUUAACCAAGGAAGUCAGAAAAUUGUUGAAGAGCUGAUCGGAUCUUAAGCCCCAAAUGGAAUUAAUAUAGAUACUGCAGAUCGACGGAUCCAACCACUUCAUUAUGCGUUCAGAGGUUAUCAAGGCGGACACCAUUGAUGCUGCCGUUGAAAGGAUUCUCAGUGAGCUUGGGGCGGAAACUAGAAGAAGCAGCAACAGAGAGAACGCCAUCUAUUUUGAUGGCUGGAACGGGCUUGGGGCAUCUACGGUCCUGCAAGCCGUAGCCAAACACCUUGCAGUAUCAGGUGACCUCUCGAUGAGGCCUGCAGGGCUCGAGUUUCAGAAAAUCAUCCACAUCGAUUGCUCAAAGUGGGAGAGCAGAAGAGCUAUGCAGAGGAAAAUUGCAGAGCAGCUGAAGCUUACCGAUUCAGUGAUGGAGAUAUUUGACAAACAAGACGAGGAGGAUGAUUUCAAUGGGUUAGACCAGGGUUCCCGGGCUGAGAUAGCACAAAUUUCCACUGAGAUCUAUCAAACCAUGCAGAAUCUCAGAUUCCUGGUGAUCCUACACAAUGGAGGCAAUCAGGAGAUCGAUAUAUUCAAUUCUGGUCUUUCUCUAUAUGAAUAUGCGAAUAGCAAGAUGUUGUGGACUUUCAGAGGGAGGUUUCGGCUUGACCCCAAGGUGAUAGACAAUGUGAAGAAGAGCACAACAACAGAUGUUCUUUUUUCAGCUUCAAGAGAUAGGCGAGAUCCGCAGGAGCUUUGGUCUUAUCUAGUGCGCCAUGAAGCUGCACAAGUUUCCUGGAAUAAGCAUGGACAUGCCAUCAUCGAUUCAGCAAUUGCUGCUAAGUGUGUUUCAUAUAUGCUGAAACAAUCCUGGAUUGGCUCUCACAUCAUUGACUACAACUGGGAUAUCCACGCCAGUAACUACUGGAUAUGUGAUGGCAUCAUUACACUUGAAGGCAUUGAUCAAGCAUGGAAAGUUGGCAAUGCUCUGCAGCAGGAGGUGCAGUUGUUGUUGGACAUGGACGGUCGGCUUAACAAUGAUGAAUCAAGACUAAUGACUUUCAGCGCUCAGCUAGCAAGCUCUGCCGAGGUCGUGCCAUACUGGAUGUCAACAACAACUUGUGGAUUUGUACUGAGCCCCUCUGGUGCUAUUCUUGAUAACAUGUUUCAACACUCGCACAUGCUCGGCGUGCUCAAAAUCUCAAGGUGUGCCUUCAGUUUCUCAUCACCUCCUUUCCUCUGUUGCCACAGCCUGAGAUUCCUGUGUCUUGAGUACUGUCAAGACCUCCGAACAAGGAGUUGCCAGUCAGAUGCAGACAAACAGGAGAAGGAGCUGGACAAGAGCCCCAUAGAGUCAUGGGAAUGCUUCCAAAGCUUGUGGGUGCUUGAUGUUCGCUACACAGAUUGGGAUCAGAUCUUGUCCACAGAGAUGAUAGAUCUCAUGACCCAUCUCAGGGAGUUAAACGUGAUUGGAGCCAAGAACUGGGACAUGAGCCAUCUACGGGGAAGGCUGUGUAACAUUCGCAAGCUCCGUGUAAAAAAGUCCACCUGCUUCUUCAACAAUGAUGUGUUCUCAGAGAUGGAAUGCAUAGAGCUUCUUGAUUUUUCUGGAAAUACUGUCAGACAGGGCAUGACAAGCUUAUCUGGGCCAUCAAGCAACAGUAGCCUUAAGACUGUCACUAUUGAUGGAUGUGACGGCUUAGAAAUGAUCUCUUUCAGGGGCUGCAAAGAAUUGGAGAACCUGUUAUUGAAAGGAUCGUUGGACUGGCUCGAGGAGCUAGAUCUCUCAGGCACAAAAGUAAAAACUCUCGACCUUGGAGGAGUAAAAUCCACACUGCCCAAGCGGAUAAUCCUGAUGGGUUGCGAGAGGCUCCGCGCAAUAUUGUGGCCAAAGGGUGUUGUAAUAAAAGAGGAAACAUGCCCAGAGUAUGUGCUGCGGAUUGACACUACCUCAGCAUCAUCAUCAACUGACGGAGGGGAAUCAACACAUGCACAUCCACAUGGUGAUCAAUCCUUCCAGUGGGAGAAAGAAAAACUGUUUAAGGAUGGAUGGCAGAUUUCUUCCACGGAUGCAAGGCUCCUUAGGUCGCUUUCUCCCGUAAGAAGUUAUUUUAGAUUUGGACCCUUACAUAUUGAUAUCUAUUCUCCAGCUAUUGCUGGUGGUAGCAACGUACAAGGAACAAGCAGUGACAAACUAGUGCAAUUCCAACCGCAUACAAGUACCAUAAUGGACUCCGAGUACAGAGACGUCGCGAAGGAUGGCCCAGUUGAAGAGAUGAUGAUGUGGGAGUGCCCUAGUAUAUUUUCUAUGUGGCUGCGCCGACCCAGAAAUGUUUCUGUCAUAAGGGUGAUCAUGCAUGAGCAGGGCAACAAGCUCUUGGUGAAGGAUGCUCCAAGUGCUAGUACUAGUGAUUUAUUCUUCCCUGAUUUUAUAUGUGAACUGGCUAAAUCGUUGCACAUGCACGAUAACUCGUCCAUCACCAGUAUCCCAGCACCUCCCAAAGGAUCAGGAUGGAAGUACCUAAGCUGGUGCCGGGUCGAGAGGUGCCCCAAGUUACACACAGUCUUCACUAUUCCUAUGGGCAGCGAUGUGGACUGCUUUGAAUUUCUGGAGACAUUCUGGGCGUCCCAGCUCCUAUCUCCAUGCUACAUCUGGGACAGGCCAAUUAAUAAUACUGCUUCACGCCUGAGGUUCUUGCACCUGGACCACUGCCCCAGGCUCGUCCAUGUGCUCCCUCUCUGCAGACGGAACAUAUACUACGCGGGUGUAUUGCAGAGCCUAGAGAUACUAGAGAUAGUGUACUGCAGUGACCUCAAGGAGGUAUUCCCUUUGGAUCUGGAGCUUCAGGCGCAGAAUGAUAUGGUUAUAAAAUUCCCCAGCCUGAGGUGCAUCCACCUGCACGAGCUCCCCACGCUGCAACACAUCUGUGGGCGGAGGAUGUACGCGCCAAACCUAGAGAUCAUCAAGAUCAGGGGUUGCUGGAGCCUCAGGCGUCUGCCGGCAGUCUGGCGCAACACCAAGCCGACCAAGGUGGACUGCGAGAAGGAAUGGUGGGACAACCUGGAGUGGGAUGGGCUGUGGAAGGACGACCACCACCCUUCCCUCUACGAGCUGAGUCACUCGUUGUACUAUAAGGCCCAGCUGCUCGGAGUCAGCGUAUUUAGCCUCGACAUCUUCUGAUCCUGAGCCCCCUACACGAAGUCACAUAAGCUCCCGUUGUGUGCACGACCAAGCCAGCACUGAACUCCGGCAUCACUGCUGGAGCGGUGCCUGAGAGAACCUGACGAUGGAGCUGAUGCCGACAUCACCUUAUGCGAGACCCUCGUUGCUGCCACCAUCGGCGUCAGCCGAUCCCGCUACCCCCGAUCUUGCGCAUUCUCCUAUGUGCGGCGUUAUGCCGCAGCGGCUGAUCCCCUUGUUACAGAGUGACAGGUAGACAUGACAGAUUAGAGGGCGCGUCAUUGACGGAAUGAAGGGCAAGGGAUUUGGCAGCGCACCUCCACGCUCAGCAAUGGUGUUGUGUGGCCUCGCAUCGCCCGCGAGGAGAGGAUUCAUGGUGGUGUUGGAUUGACGCUGCUGGUGAAGGUUGAUCAGGGAGGAGAAUACCAAUAUGACUGGUAUUUGGUAAUACAUUCCUUCCAUUAAUUGAUCUUCGGCUUGCUUCAACCAGCAUGCACAUGGGCGUCAUCAUGCAGACCUACAUAACUGAAGCUUUCCUUUCCCGCUGUGUGUUCGUUGCUUGCCCUGCUUCCUGCUUGAUUGGUUUGUGGGCUCUCUACAUCUGCAUUGCUAUGGUGUGGCAGUGAAAUUCCAGUUUGGUUUGAUUUGAUUUGGUUGGAUCAUCUUUGCUCGAUCCAUGGAAGAACUGGUCAUCUGGUUGCAUAGAUGAUGGUACAAGCUGGAGCAAAUGAGAAGUAAACAGAGUGGGCAUUCAGCUUAUGCAUCAUGAGUCCUGAGUGCUCAUCCGUGCCCCUGAUGUGCGUAUGUUUUUUGCUGUUGUUGUGGUUUAAAUAGUUAGCCACGGACUGAUUGUAUUGUAAGGAAAUUACGAUGGUCUAUGAUUGUGGGUGCGCUGUUGUUUGUUAUGGUUAGCUAUGGA
Non-coding RNA from Lolium perenne, 5729 nucleotides. Lineage: Eukaryota; Viridiplantae; Streptophyta; Magnoliopsida; Poales; Poaceae. The record is from RefSeq and is a predicted model, not a curated record.